RNAcentral lists this non-coding RNA (29 nucleotides) under Homo sapiens (human). Lineage: Eukaryota; Metazoa; Chordata; Mammalia; Primates; Hominidae. The record is from RNAcentral.
UGCAGAUUAAAGAAUGUCAUAACUGGGCC